UGCAGUCGAGCGAACAGAUGAGAAGCUUGCUUCUCUGAUGUUAGCGGCGGACGGGUGAGUAACACGUGGGUAACCUACCUAUAAGACUGGGAUAACUCCGGGAAACCGGGGCUAAUACCUGAUAAUAUUUUGAACCGCAUGGUUCGAUAGUGAAAGGCGGCUUCGGCUGUCACUUAUAGAUGGACCCGCGCCGUAUUAGCUAGUUGGUAAGGUAAUGGCUUACCAAGGCGACGAUACGUAGCCGACCUGAGAGGGUGAUCGGCCACACUGGAACUGAGACACGGUCCAGACUCCUACGGGAGGCAGCAGUAGGGAAUCUUCCGCAAUGGGCGAAAGCCUGACGGAGCAACGCCGCGUGAGUGAUGAAGGUUUUCGGAUCGUAAAACUCUGUUGUUAGGGAAGAACAAAUUUGUUAGUAACUGAACAAGUCUUGACGGUACCUAACCAGAAAGCCACGGCUAACUACGUGCCAGCAGCCGCGGUAAUACGUAGGUGGCAAGCGUUAUCCGGAAUUAUUGGGCGUAAAGCGCGCGUAGGCGGUUUCUUAAGUCUGAUGUGAAAGCCCACGGCUCAACCGUGGAGGGUCAUUGGAAACUGGGGAACUUGAGUGCAGAAGAGGAGAGUGGAAUUCCAUGUGUAGCGGUGAAAUGCGCAGAGAUAUGGAGGAACACCAGUGGCGAAGGCGGCUCUCUGGUCUGUAACUGACGCUGAUGUGCGAAAGCGUGGGGAUC
RNAcentral lists this ribosomal RNA (731 nucleotides) under Staphylococcus sp. X52-CRBM-E14. Its description in RNAcentral is "bacterial SSU rRNA". It matches the Rfam family "Bacterial small subunit ribosomal RNA", at positions 56 to 769 of the family's 1533-position model. Lineage: Bacteria; Bacillati; Bacillota; Bacilli; Caryophanales; Staphylococcaceae. The record is from RNAcentral.